Ribosomal RNA from Lepisosteus oculatus (spotted gar), 119 nucleotides. The record is from Rfam. Lineage: Eukaryota; Metazoa; Chordata; Actinopteri; Semionotiformes; Lepisosteidae.
GCCAGCAGCCAAAUCACUCUGCAACUCACAACUGGCAACCCACUGAAGCUAAGUUGCUGUGAGCCUGGUCAGUACCUGGAUGUGUGACCUUCUGGGAAAAACUAAGGUUGCUGCUGGAA